UUGAUUACGUCCCUGCCCUUUGUACACACCGCCCGUCGCUGCCCGGGACUGAGCCAUUUCGAGAAAUUUGGGGACCGUUGAUUUAAUUUAUCUAAAUUAUUUUGAUGGAAACCAAUUUAAUCGCAGUGGCUUGAACCGGGCAAAAGUCGUAACAAGGUAGCUGUAGGUGAACCUGCUGCUGGAUCAUUACUUUAUGUGAUGUUCAAUUUUGAAUCGCAAUGAAAUAAUUGUUGUGUAACGGCUGUCGCUGGUGUCUAGGUGUUGCUGAUACAGUUGUGAACGUCCGUGGCUGUAUAUGUGGUGACAUGUUAGGACUAUAAUGAGUUUAAGACUUAAUGAGCCUCUUAAGUGAGGACGCCAGCACUCUUUUUUUAUAUUUAAAAAAAAACAAAAUUCCUAGCCUUUCCGGUGGAUCACUAGGCUCGUGGAUCGAUGAAGAACGCAGCAAACUGCGAUAAGUUUUGCGAACUGCAGCAGCCUUGAGCAUAAAAGUUUUGAACGCAUAUUGCCGCAUAGGGGUCAAACCCUUUGCUAUGUCUGGUUCAGGGUCAUUAUCUUUCAAAGCGAAAGCUUUAUUGUAUAAUUGCUUUUGUGGCUUCUUUAUGUUUUAAAUUGAUUGUUAGAUAUGUUUAAUUGUUCGCAUGUAUCAUCAACAAUAUUGAUUUUUUGACCUGAACUCAGUCGAGAGCACCCGCUGAACUUAAGCAUAUCAGUAAGCGGAGGAAAAGAAACUAAACAGGAUUCCCUUAGUAACGGCGAGUGAAA
Molecule: ribosomal RNA, 765 nt
Filed under: Meloidogyne enterolobii
Lineage: Eukaryota; Metazoa; Nematoda; Chromadorea; Rhabditida; Meloidogynidae
Description: eukaryotic LSU rRNA
Rfam family: Eukaryotic small subunit ribosomal RNA (bases 1-189)
Source: RNAcentral